AUUUAAGUGGCUUAUUUAGAGCUUUGUGCUGAAGACACAGUGGUGAGAUCUUAUUUCUCCUUAAAUA
This 67-nucleotide transfer RNA is filed under the name Trachytettix bufo. RNAcentral describes it as "tRNA-Phe". The record is from RNAcentral. Lineage: Eukaryota; Metazoa; Arthropoda; Insecta; Orthoptera; Tetrigidae.